Molecule: long non-coding RNA, 3146 nt
Filed under: Olea europaea subsp. europaea
Lineage: Eukaryota; Viridiplantae; Streptophyta; Magnoliopsida; Lamiales; Oleaceae
Source: RNAcentral
GAAAAUUUUGCCAAAAGUGAGUCAUUUACUCAUUUUUUCCAAAAAGUCACACAUAUCUAAUCCAAUUUUGAGAUGGCAUGUAAAGAAAGUGUAAUUGAAUAGAAACCUGCAUCAGCUUGAUUCAAUAGAAUUUGGACAACUAAAUCACAAUUAUGUAUAAUUUCUUGAAGUUACUAAGGUGUUAUAUAUAGCAAAAUGGUUUCAAUGUUUUUUCUGAAUUUAAUGUUUAUUCAAAUUUUCACAGGUGAUUGAUACCAAUGGGGGGGGGGGUUCCCUAACUUCAACGCAUAUAGAAGCGUAGUUCCAUGCAUGUCAAUUGGCAUGCAUCAAAUAACUCCAUUGGGUGACAGACGCUCCGUAGCAAUGGUACCCACACUAAAAUGUGAAAGGUGCUCUUUGAAAAAUGGAUUUGAGUAUUGUAGUUUGAAAAAUGGAUUUGAGUGAUGACUUUAAAAUCAAACUUACCAAUUUACCAAAAUUUGGACAGAGUAACAACAAGAAAUGGAAGAAUAGAUACCACAGAAAUUAUAUUAAAACGCCAAUGAAAUUGGACAAAAUAACACCAAAGAAAUGAAUGCAAAGUCGAAGUAAGAGUUGAACUCUUUAUCUUUUAGUUGAUUUUGCCUUACAACGAUGCCUAUGGAUGACAACAAUCAACUUCCAAGAUAUGACGACUAACUUCUUGUGUUUGUAGCACACCAAAACACGGGAAUAGCGAAUCAAAAUAUGGCUUUUAUACUCUUUUUGAAUGAAAUGAAAACAAAUUUUUUAUGCAGAAUUUUGGUUAAGGAAAUAUGAAUGUUUAUGUUAUACUAUGAUUGCAUAUCAUUGGGAUGAAGUAAAGGACGUCCCAAGGGUCUAAUUUAUAGAGGAGGAGAGGUUGUGAGUACAAAGAGACGCUUUAAAAUUCAGCAACCUUUGCCAAGGGUCGCAGCCUUUGUUGUCACUUGCCCGUCGCCUGUGUGUUGCUCGAGCGUCAAUAGCAGAAAGGCUAUCACUUGAGCAAUAGUCUUAUCACCCGCUCACCGAUCGAGCGAUAGGCGAGCAAUGGAGUUGGGCAAAUGCCCAGCUAGUUUUCUUCUUUUCAUUCCAUCCUUGAACCAUAAUUUCUCAUUCAUCCGAAAUUAGUUUUGAGAUUUCAAAUAUACCAUAUCGAUCUACUAGACGAGUAGAACAAGUUAGUCUAUUUAUUUUCAUAAUUUGACCAUCGGAUAAAGUCCAAAUAUUUAGUCGAAAUUGACACGAAAGUCACUUUACCAUGGUUAUAUACUUAACCAAUUCCAACAAAAGGUUAGAUACAUGUAUAGAACAUUAUAUCUUUGUUAAGAUGAUUAUUUUAGAUUCAUCCGUUGCUAUACAUGAAAGACACUCGUCACUUUGAUCUUUUACAAAGUUCAUAAAUUCGCACGCUUGAUCUCUUGCACAACAGCAUAAGAACAGUAUAACCUACUUGCCUCAACUUCAACUGAUGAUGAUGAAAUAUAGUUGAGCCAAUUGUUUGGAAGUUUCAUAACUCACGGUCAGUAGAAUGAAAACAUAGAAUUAGACAUCUAGUCCAUCCUUUUGCAAUAAGAUUUGAAUUGAACAAAAGACAUAUCAAUUAUCCAUUGCGAGCGACAGAUGGCAUAAAUUUUCUACUUGCACCACCACUGUCUUAAUCUCUUAUUCUAAUGACACAUGCAUCAUGUUUGUGGAAAAGUUAAAAAGCUAAACGUAAGUAUUAAGUGUUAAAAAAGUUAACAAGUCUCUCAAUGGAAUGACAUUAGAGGUGUGUUACGCCCUCGAUUUCGAUUGUACGAGCCUCGAUACCGAAGUGUCAUCUCACCACCGAAGCCAAGAUCAACGCCUCGAUUGUACGAGCCUCGAUACCGAAGUGUCAUCUCCCAAGAUCAAGUAGACCACUCCGACCCUCCCGAAGCUUCUCCGAAGUGAUACAUCGAUUCCUACUACUGAUCUGCCGAAGUAUCCCACCCGAAGCUUCUCCGAAGUGAUACAUCGAUUCCUACUACUGAUCUGCCGAAGUAUCCCACCUCCGAGGUUGGGAUCAGGUGGACCCCGGUUAGAAGAUCCGCCGCCAAUUUAAGAUUUGUUCUGCAUAUAGGGUUUAAAUUAAUUUGACGUCCCCAUGAGACUAUUUGAUGUGACUUAUCAACUUUAUGUCAAUUCAACUCGGGGGAAACAAACUGUCCGCCCACUCUACAAGCGCGGCUGAUUGACGCCUAUGAGCAGACGCUUCAUACCGUCAGAUGUAUACACGUGUUCCACAUCCCACGGUUCAUACCACCUAUAAAUACCCAAAGUUUGGCAAGAGGCAAAGGUAAUAAAACACUCAAUACAUAGCAUUCCAUAACAAGUUUAUAUAUUCUCCUCCCCCUUUAUUGAUUGAUUUGUGUAACCCCAGGGCACUGUUCCGACCACCCAAACUUGACUUGACCGUCUGAGUGUAUACGGCCGCCACCACCCCCGUCGGUUCCGGCCGUGUGCGCCUGACCAUUUGUUCAUUUCGCAGGGAGGAAUACGUGGAGUAGCUAUAAGUUGGCCACGUGGAGGAGCCAUUUUUGGAGGUCAACAGUCUGGCGCCGUCUGUGGGAAGUCAUUCCCCAUUUGAAGUUUUACAUUCCCCAUUGGAGAAGACACCGAAAAAUCGACGACUGACCCUGAAAAGGGGGCAUUUUUGAAAAAGAACAAAAAUCGAAUUACAAUCCAAGUUCUUAUUACCCUUGAAAGAAGAGGUAAGAUGAGCUAUAGCCGUGAAGAGAAUCCCCUGAGAGAGGCCUCUGAAGAAGGGGUACUCCAUAACAAUGUUGCUCAUCAGAGACCGCAUCACUGGCGUCGACGAGGCGAAAGAACAGCCAUACUUACUGAAGGAAUGGCCCAGAUAGCAGCGGGUAUGAGAGACAUAGCAGCUCAGAAUAUGACGAUGCGGGAACUUCUCAUGCAAGCCCAGGGACACCAGAGGCCCCAAGGAUCUUAUCCGGUACAGGAAAUCCCUUUGUCUCAUUCUCGAGGCCGCAUGAGCCGGCACACAGAACGUCCUCUCGAAAGAGAGGGGAACACCGAAGCGACAUCUUAUAUGCAGGAGAGUCACCCAUCAGAACCACUCUUGGGGGACAACUUUCCUCAAGAAUACGAUGACCAGAGGUCAG